UGGGGAAUAUUGCACAAUGGGGGAAACCCUGAUGCAGCAACGCCGCGUGAGUGAAGAAGUAUUUCGGUAUGUAAAGCUCUAUCAGCAGGGAAGAGAAUGACGGUACCUGACCUAAGAAGCCCCGGCUAACUACGUGCC
RNAcentral lists this ribosomal RNA (138 nucleotides) under uncultured bacterium. RNAcentral describes it as "partial 16S ribosomal RNA". It matches the Rfam family "Bacterial small subunit ribosomal RNA", at positions 355 to 509 of the family's 1533-position model. The record is from RNAcentral.